UUGCACCAAUGCUCAGGCCUGUAACCUCUUCUAUCCAGUUACGCAGGUCUUCUUCUAUCUGGGGAUCAUACUUCAAGGCGAUCUGUAACACAUGCAGUCACAAAAUUACUUCGCAAGAAAAAACUGCAACUCCUUCCCAAGACUCAGGUGGAAUAAGCAGCGAUCUCGUGUCUUAAUUGUAAAGUUACUGCAAAGCACUCUUAUGUUAUGGAGGAAACCUGCAACAGUCUUAGAAAUUCAAGGCAUCAAACGGAGGCCAAGAGUUGUUAGCAAGGUGACUUGAAAAACUCCUUUCCCACACACUCAGACCUCACCAUUCAGCAUGUCAGUUGGUGCUGCACACGCUGCAGUCAGUGGGAAGCAGCACGCUCCAACCAUGCCGGCAGGAGCCAAGCUCAGCUCUGCCCUUUGUUCCCUGCUCCACCCAGAGGAUGUUGAAAACAGCUCAAGUUUCCUUUGGUUUAAAUCUGUUACUUCUGCAGUGCUCCCAACAUGGGCAAUUUGGAGAAAAGGGUUUACAUCACUGGAAGCAACCUUAGUCCUACAUAACCUGCUCCUUUUUGUGCAAACAGAACAAAUCAUCCAAGCACAAGAUUUUAUGGCACAACUAACCUCUGCUGGUGCAGAGGUUGGCAACGCUUCUCUGUGUGCAUUACACGGCACAGCAAACAAAGCUGGGGAUGAGCGAGCUGCCCCACCAAGGCUGAGCAGCACCCGCAGUGCUCCUUGCUGACAGCCCCGCUGGCCACCGGUUAGUUCCUCAUGGGAAACUUGGCUAAAGCCAGUCACGUGCAGACCUGAAGUUUCAGACUUGAUGCAGACUUGGGCCCAGAAAAGCUAGGUAUCAGCAACCAUUUUGUACUGCAGGAGAUUGCAGUUCCAACCUAUGCGAAUUACUUGGAUUGAGGCAAUUACUACAUCUUGGCUAGCAUUACUAAUCCCCAACUCCAAACCAACCACACUAAAAAUCAUACAGUAUGCCAUUCUCUGCUUUCUUCUAAGGGAAUGGAAAAUUCCUAUAUCUCUGGCUUUACUUCAGAAAUUUAUGUGCGCAAUGCUUAUUUUCCUUUUCCUUGAACUGUUUGUAAUAGCACUGCUGCGGUGCCUAAGUUACAGAUCAGGAUAAUUCCCUUGUUGAUCACUGUGUAGAAGUCCGUGCAGCUUUCUGCACAAGCCCUGAGUACCUUGGUGCUUAGGCCAAUGGUGGUCUGACAUCCUCAAGCUCUCUCUUUUCUCAUAGAGGAGAAAAAUGGAAGAAAGCUCGGGUAAUAAAUACUGCCUAGUGGAAGGAAAGUGCAUAUUUGUUUUUUUUUAUGAAACCUUUCUGAAAUUAAAAGGUGAGAAAUGGACUAGAAAAGUUAACAGUUCACAGCUCCACAGGGAAAGCCACCACACCUUUGUGUCUGUUUUUUUUCAAGAAGAUAGUCCUCUUGUGCUUUCCUAAAGUUUAGUGCCAGAAGCAGUGCUACCAUGUUUUUAGUGAUUGUAGCAAUAGCACGGAGUGGGUAGCCCCUUUUGCAAGGGGCCCCAGCCAGAAAGAUUCAUUGCCUUGAAAAUGGUGAUGAGGAAGCUGGUUAUUGUCCUUCUCCUUCCUAACCUGGCAAUCAGCUCACAAACUAUUUUCAUGGUUCGUUUUGUUUCCUAUGGAAACACAGCAUGUGUGAUCACACCCUGAAUCUGUCUUCCUGGUAACAUCUGAACAAGCUACUCAAGUUCUGCCAAACUCACUGAAGAGCUGCAGUCGUGGACGUAACUGAAGUUUUGUUUCUUUGUCUGUUUUUUUGAAGUAUUUGGAGUAUAGGAGAGAAAGAUCCCCUAAGUAUAAAACACAGCAUCAUAUCGUUAUUCCACAUCGACGAAUCUACAGAGACCUUAUUAAAGUGCCCAGAUGCAGGCAAGAUACUGAAAUGCCAAGUUUAGAAAAAGAAAGGACUCAUACAAAGAUAAGAGCAUAGCAUGCUCUGAUAUUCUAGUUAGCAGAGAGCAGGCAAUUGGGGCUGGCUGUGUGGGUGGAGAUGGUUUGUGCCACAUUAAGACAGCAGUUCUAACACGCACAUGGUUCAGAGGGGGGCCAGAGCCAGUCUCUUCCGCUGUCCUUUAGUUGUGGUUAGAAACAUAAUGAAUGUUCUGUUAGCUGAAAAUUCAGGCUAUUUCUGUUUCGUUUUAGCUUAAAGACAAUGCUAAGUGAUAGUUCAGCCAUCCUGCAGCUGGAAUUGUCUUUGUUUCCUCUUUAUAAGUAAAGAAAUAAUCAGUGCAUAAAGCUGAUGUUGCAGAAAAGUAAAUCAGUGGUGAUGCCACCAAGGGACACACUUUAAAGAUCACUUGUCCCCUCCCUCCCCCAGUUUACAAUAAAUAAAAAUGGAAGUCAACCAGAGUGAGUUCCACCCAGCAUAUUGGAAUGAAGGAAAAAAAUGGCAAAAAUUUUCCUUAUUUAAUAUCAAGUACAUUCCAUAUUUGAGAUUACAAAUGAGAUGAAUACUAAAUGACUACCCCCACUGCUUGAGCUACUUGGAAGGAGUUGGAUGGAAUUUCAUCCUGUCUCUUGAAAGAUAUUUACUUUGUUGGAGUACUUUACAUGCAUUUAAAUCCUCGGUUUUUAAAGAGGUUUAAAAGUAUCUUGGGGGUAUCACUACUGCGCUUAUCUAGAGAUAGGGGGAAAAAAAUUAAAUCACAUGAGGAAACUUGCAUUUUUGGCACCAAAAACAUUACUGUUAAGUCUGCACAUUUUCUGAACUGUCUUCAGUAUGAUGCAGUUUGACCUAAACAUGACAAAGGGUUUUAUGUCUUUAACAGGUGGGCAACUAGGUUACUAAAUAUCAAGUGGUGAUUGGUUCUUUGUGAAUUAUAUUUAAUCUAUCUGAAAAGAUACAGACACAGAAACAUUAGAAUCCAGGCUAAGCAUGUGACAAGAGGGCUUAAGUUAAGCUGGGCAGGCAUUAGGUCAGUGCUACCGGAGGGAGGUGUUCUGCUUGCUUUGGGCUCUUAGCUCUUUUUCACUCCUGGUGACACAGUUAGAAGUUACGUAACACCAAACUAGGGAAUACUUCAUAUUUUCCAUGUAUCUAUGAGUUGCUCCAGUAUUUCUUUGAUUGCUAUCUGUGAGGGGAAAGUUGGAAGCAUUGUUAUAAAUUAAAUAUUAUGGCUUUUUCCAUUACUACUAUUCAGCAUGCCAUCAUUUGACCCUUUUUAAUGCCGAACUUUCAUUGCAGAUACUUAAAUCUUGUAUGUCCGCAAAAGAAAAUACUUUCUAGUAAAAUGAAAGUGGUAGCUAAGCAGCUCAUUUCAAAGUAUUCAUCAUCAGUGCCACUGAAAAAAGCUGCUGUUUUAGAACCCUGUAAAAAAGAUCAAAUUGUAGCAAUGGAUAUAAACAUUUAAAAUCUGGUUUAAAACCAGAUAGCAUGAUGCCAAUUGUAAAUUUCUUUAUUUUGUUCUGAUAAAUCUUGAAGGAUGCACAAAGCUAUAAAUGCUGCUGCUUUUGUAGACACUUCUGAGGUACGGAUUUAGUUGUUAGAGAUCUCUCUGAAACUAAGUCUAUACCACUGGUCAAAGCUGGAAGUGCUCCAUGGUUGUGGAAAAAAGCAAGCAGGUGUCACUUGCCUGUUACAAGCUCCUGACUGCUAGUCCAGUUCAUAACAUGAAGAGUUGGCUUCAGUUUCAGUACAGAAAAAAGCUAUGUAAAAUUUGGCAAUUAACUGAAAGACAAGGUUUUUUUCAUUAAUUUUAAUUAGAAAUGUGAUAGCUUCACAACAGGUAGCCUUCAGCAGACUAAUAUUAUAUAUUACCUUGCUACUGUAAGUCACAAGAAGAGGCUGCAGAAAAAGUAGGCUCGUACUGUCUUUUUGGACUGUCUUCAUUUAAAUGUACAAAGUAAAUAAAAAGUUACCCACUCA
Numida meleagris (helmeted guineafowl) is the source of this 3890-nucleotide long non-coding RNA. RefSeq lists it as uncharacterized. NCBI's taxonomy places the organism in Eukaryota, Metazoa, Chordata, Aves, Galliformes, Numididae. The record is from RefSeq and is a predicted model, not a curated record. The transcript is spliced from 2 exons.